AUUUCUUUUAAAGCUUCUUCACCUUUGCUACCGGUUUGUUUUACAAAGUCAUCAUAGAAAGGUUUCAUUGAGGCUUUGAACGGUGCAAGAUCAGGUUUGGUUACUGUGACACCUUGC
RNAcentral lists this antisense RNA (117 nucleotides) under Pasteurellaceae bacterium NI1060. RNAcentral's name for it is "Aggregatibacter sRNA 96". It matches the Rfam family "Aggregatibacter sRNA 96". Rfam says of the family: Validated by RT-PCR. Lineage: Bacteria; Pseudomonadati; Pseudomonadota; Gammaproteobacteria; Pasteurellales; Pasteurellaceae. The record is from Rfam by way of RNAcentral.